UGAGGAAUAUUGGGCAAUGCCCGCAAGGGUGACCCAGCAACGCCGCGUGGAGGAUGAAUGUCGUAAGAUUGUAAACUCCUGUUAGAGGGGAAGAAUAGUACCGGUUGGACCGGUAUAUGACUGUACCCUCAGAGAAAGCCCCGGCUAACUACGUGCCAGCAGCCGCGGUAAUACGUAGGGGGCAAGCGUUGUCCGGAUUUACUGGGUGUAAAGGGCGCGCAGGCGGGAUAAAAAGUCAGUGGUGAAAUCCUACAGCUUAACUGUAGAACUGUCUUUGAUACUUUUAUUCUUGAGUUCGGGAGAGAGAGACGGAAUUCCAGGUGUAGUGGUGAAAUACGUAGAUAUCUGGAAGAACACCAGUUGCGAAGGCGGUCUCUUGGUCCGACACUGACGCUGAGGCGCGAAAGCGUGGGGAGCAAACA
RNAcentral lists this ribosomal RNA (422 nucleotides) under uncultured bacterium. RNAcentral describes it as "bacterial SSU rRNA". It matches the Rfam family "Bacterial small subunit ribosomal RNA", at positions 355 to 774 of the family's 1533-position model. The record is from RNAcentral.